UAGGGAAUCUUCCGCAAUGGACGCAAGUCUGACGGAGCAACGCCGCGUGAGUGAAGAAGGAUUUCGGUUCGUAAAACUCUGUUGUUAGAGAAGAACAGCGCAUAGAGUAACUGUUAUGCGUGUGACGGUAUCUAACCAGAAAGCCACGGCUAACUACGUGCCAGCAGCCGCGGUAAUACGUAGGUGGCAAGCGUUGUCCGGAUUUAUUGGGCGUAAAGCGAGCGCAGGCGGUCAAUUAAGUCUGAUGUGAAAGCCCCCGGCUCAACCGGGGAGGGUCAUUGGAAACUGGUUGACUUGAGUGCAGAAGAGGAGAGUGGAAUUCCAUGUGUAGCGGUGAAAUGCGUAGAUAUAUGGAGGAACACCGGUGGCGAAGGCGGCUCUCUGGUCUGUAACUGACGCUGAGGCUCGAAAGCGUGGGGAGCGAACAGG
RNAcentral lists this ribosomal RNA (429 nucleotides) under Bacteroidota bacterium. Its description in RNAcentral is "Bacteroidetes bacterium partial 16S ribosomal RNA". It matches the Rfam family "Bacterial small subunit ribosomal RNA", at positions 355 to 776 of the family's 1533-position model. The record is from RNAcentral. Lineage: Bacteria; Pseudomonadati; Bacteroidota.